GACGAACGCUGGCGGCGUGCUUAACACAUGCAAGUCGAACGGAAAGGCCCUGCUUUUGUGGGGUGCUCGAGUGGCGAACGGGUGAGUAACACGUGAGUAACCUGCCCUUGACUUUGGGAUAACUUCAGGCAACUGGGGCUAAUACCGGAUAGGAGCUCCUGCUGCAGGGUGGGGGUUGGAAGGUUUCGGCGGUUGGGGUUGGACUCGCGGCUUAUCAGCUUGUUGGUGGGGUAGUGGCUUACCAAGGCUUUGACGGGUAGCCGGCCUGAGAGGGUGAGCGGCCACAUUGGGACUGAGAUACGGCCCAGACUCCUCCGGGAGGCAGCAGUGGGGAAUAGUGCACUAUGGGCGGAAGCCUGAUGCAGCAACGCCGCGUGCGGGAUGACGGCCUUCGGGUUGUAAACCGCUUUCGCCUGUGACGAAGCGUGAGUGACGGUAAUGGGUAAAGAAGCACCGGCUAACUACGUG
Molecule: ribosomal RNA, 468 nt
Filed under: uncultured bacterium
Lineage: Bacteria
Description: partial 16S ribosomal RNA
Rfam family: Bacterial small subunit ribosomal RNA
Source: RNAcentral